Molecule: unclassified non-coding RNA, 206 nt
Filed under: plant metagenome
Description: partial contains small subunit ribosomal RNA, internal transcribed spacer 1, and 5.8S ribosomal RNA
Source: RNAcentral
UUUCCGUAGGUGAACCUGCGGAAGGAUCAUUCAUAAUAAGUGUUUUACUGCACUUUUUAAAAAUAGUACUCACCUUGUGUGCAAUGUUGAGUUUCUUUUCGGAGAAACACCUACACCAACCUAUAACCUUGAACCACUUUGUCUGAAAAACUAUUAUGAAUACUUAAUUCAAAAUACAACUUUCAACAACGGAUCUCUUGGCUCUC